GACGAACGCUGGCGGCGUGCUUAACACAUGCAAGUCGAACGAAGCUUGAUUACGGAUUCUUCGGAUGAAGUAUGAUAUGACUGAGUGGCGGACGGGUGAGUAACGCGUGAGUAAUCUGCCCUUCUGAGGGGGAUAGCGUUUGGAAACGAACGGUAAUACCGCAUAAUGUAUUUUGACCGCAUGAUCGAACUACCAAAGAUUUAUCGCUGAAGGAUGGACUCGCGUCUGAUUAGGUAGUUGGUGGGGUAACGGCCUACCAAGCCGACGAUCAGUAGCCGGACUGAGAGGUUGAUCGGCCACAUUGGGACUGAGACACGGGCCAGACUCCUACGGGAGGCAGCAGUAGGGAAUAUUGCACAAUGGGCGCAAGCCUGAUGCAGCAACGGCGCGUGAAGGAAGACGGUUGUCGGAUUGUAAACUUCUGUUCUUAGUGAAGAAUAAUGACGGUAGCUAAGGAACAAGCCACGGCUAACUACGUG
RNAcentral lists this ribosomal RNA (479 nucleotides) under uncultured bacterium. Its description in RNAcentral is "partial 16S ribosomal RNA". It matches the Rfam family "Bacterial small subunit ribosomal RNA", at positions 28 to 507 of the family's 1533-position model. The record is from RNAcentral.